GAUGAACGCUGGCGGCGUGCCUAAUACAUGCAAGUCGAGCGAACAGACGAGGAGCUUGCUCCUCUGACGUUAGCGGCGGACGGGUGAGUAACACGUGGAUAACCUACCUAUAAGACUGGGAUAACUUCGGGAAACCGGAGCUAAUACCGGAUAAUAUAUUGAACCGCAUGGUUCAAUAGUGAGAGACGGUUUUGCUGUCACUUAUAGAUGGAUCCGCGCCGCAUUAGCUAGUUGGUAAGGUAACGGCUUACCAAGGCGACGAUGCGUAGCCGACCUGAGAGGGGGAUCGGCCACACUGGAACUUGGCCACGGUCCAGACUCCUACGGGAGGCAGCAGUAGGGAAUCUUCCGCAAUGGGCGAAAGCCUGACGGAGUAGCGCCGCGUGAGUGAUGAAGGUCUUCGGAUCGUAAAACUCUGUUAUUAGGGAAGAACAAAUGUGUAAGUAACUAUGCACGUCUUGACGGUACCUAAUCAGAAAGCCACGGCUAACUACGUG
Molecule: ribosomal RNA, 497 nt
Filed under: uncultured bacterium
Lineage: Bacteria
Description: partial 16S ribosomal RNA
Rfam family: Bacterial small subunit ribosomal RNA
Source: RNAcentral